ACUGAGGAGGAGCAUAGGAUGUUUCUACUUGGUUUGCAAAAACUCGGUAAAGGUGAUUGGCGUGGAAUUGCUCGUAACUAUGUGAUCUCUAGAACGCCCACCCAGGUUGCAAGCCACGCCCAGAAAUAUUUCAUUAGGCAAAGUAAUAUGUCAAGGAGAAAAAGACGCUCCAGUCUGUUUGAUAUUGUUGCUGAUGAAUCAGGGGACACUCCAAUGGUAUCGAGGGAUUUCCUCGCAGAUGAUCCUGCACAAGCUGAGAUGCAAAGCAACAAUCCGUUGCCUCCUACUCCUGCUGUGGAUGAAGAAUGUGAAUCAAUGGGUUCAGCAGCUUCUGCCAACUCCAUCGAUGGGGAACAUGCUCUUUCUAUACCAGAAAGCUCACAAUAUCAGCAUCCACUUGUUUAUCCUGCUUAUGUUGCUCCAUUUUACCCGAUGCCUUAUCCAUGCUGGCCAGGUUACACUGCAGAGCCAGCAAUAGCAGAGACCCAUGAAGUUCUGAAGCCAACAGCUGUUCAUUCAAAGAGUCCAAUUAAUGUUGAUGAGCUGGUUGGUAUGUCAAAGCUAAGCUUAGGUGAGUCCAUUGGUGAUGCUGCCAAGCCACCUUCUCUGUCACUAAAGCUGGUCGAGGGCUCCUCCAGGCAGUCAGCUUUCCAUGCUAAUCCGUCAUCUGGUAGCUCAGGCAUGAACUCUAGCCACAAUCCAAUCCAUGCAGUUUAGAAGGGUGCAUUCACAUGAUAUGUUUCCUGUUAAUAUAUGAAAAUGUUCUCUAGUUUGGUUGGUUAGUUAUAGUUCUAUUUGUUGGGUCGAUCUUAAUAAGACUAUUUAGGUGUUAACUGCUUAGUUGGCAAUACUCAUACCUUUGUAGGCACUCUUGUUUUGAAG
RNAcentral lists this unclassified non-coding RNA (882 nucleotides) under Hevea brasiliensis (rubber tree). The record is from RNAcentral. Lineage: Eukaryota; Viridiplantae; Streptophyta; Magnoliopsida; Malpighiales; Euphorbiaceae.